RNAcentral lists this ribosomal RNA (496 nucleotides) under uncultured bacterium. Its description in RNAcentral is "partial 16S ribosomal RNA". It matches the Rfam family "Bacterial small subunit ribosomal RNA", at positions 29 to 507 of the family's 1533-position model. The record is from RNAcentral.
AUGAACGCUGGCGGCGUGCCUAAUACAUGCAAGUCGAACGAACGGACGAGAAGCUUGCUUCUCUGAUGUUAGCGGCGGACGGGUGAGUAACACGUGGAUAACCUACCUAUAAGACUGGGAUAACUUCGGGAAACCGGAGCUAAUACCGGAUAAUAUUUUGAACCGCAUGGUUCAAAAGUGAAAGACGGUCUUGCUGUCACUUAUAGAUGGAUCCGCGCUGCAUUAGCUAGUUGGUAAGGUAACGGCUUACCAAGGCAACGAUGCAUAGCCGACCUGAGAGGGUGAUCGGCCACACUGGAACUGAGACACGGUCCAGACUCCUACGGGAGGCAGCAGUAGGGAAUCUUCCGCAAUGGGCGAAAGCCUGACGGAGCAACGCCGCGUGAGUGAUGAAGGUCUUCGGAUCGUAAAACUCUGUUAUUAGGGAAGAACAUAUGUGUAAGUAACUGUGCACAUCUUGACGGUACCUAAUCAGAAAGCCACGGCUAACUACGUG